Molecule: ribosomal RNA, 253 nt
Filed under: uncultured bacterium
Lineage: Bacteria
Description: partial 16S ribosomal RNA
Rfam family: Bacterial small subunit ribosomal RNA
Source: RNAcentral
UACGUAGGGCGCAAGCGUUAUCCGGAAUUAUUGGGCGUAAAGGGCUCGUAGGCGGUUUGUCGCGUCGGGAGUGAAAACCUUGGGCUUAACUCAGGGCUUGCUUUCGAUACGGGCAGACUAGAGGUAUGCAGGGGAGAACGGAAUUCCUGGUGUAGCGGUGAAAUGCGCAGAUAUCAGGAGGAACACCGGUGGCGAAGGCGGUUCUCUGGGCAUGAUCUGACGCUGAGGAGCGAAAGUGUGGGGAGCGAACAGG